GUGGGGAAUUUUGGACAAUGGGGGAAACCCUGAUCCAGCCAUGCCGCGUGCGGGAUGAAGGCCUUCGGGUUGUAAACCGCUUUUGUCAGAGACGAAAAGGGACGCACGAAUAAUACGUUCCCCUGACGGUAUCUGAAGAAUAAGCACCGGCUAACUACGUGCCAGCAGCCGCGGUAAUACGUAGGGUGCAAGCGUUAAUCGGAAUUACUGGGCGUAAAGGGUGCGCAGGCGGCGGUGCAAGACAGAUGUGAAAUCCCCGGGCUUAACCUGGGAACUGCAGUUGUGACUGCACGGCUAGAGUUUGUCAGAGGAGGGUGGAAUUCCGCGUGUAGCAGUGAAAUGCGUAGAUAUGCGGAAGAACACCAAUGGCGAAGGCAGCCCUCUGGGACAUGACUGACGCUCAUGCACGAAAGCGUGGGGAGCAAACAGGAUUAGAUACCCCAGUAGUCC
RNAcentral lists this ribosomal RNA (450 nucleotides) under uncultured bacterium. Its description in RNAcentral is "partial 16S ribosomal RNA". It matches the Rfam family "Bacterial small subunit ribosomal RNA", at positions 354 to 796 of the family's 1533-position model. The record is from RNAcentral.